UUAUGAAUGAGCCUGCUCGGUUGUGUUUUUCCCAGCAGCUCGAGUACAGAGGGGAUUGACACCAAGGUGGACAUUGCUGGCAUGCCCCCAAAGGGCUGGGAGGGCCAGGAAGUCACCUGCCAGCACCUGAUUAGGAUGCAGAGAGAAUGACUGAGACAGACAGCGCCAGGAGAGGGGCUCAUGAUAGAUAAAAGGAGGCAGGGAGCAGGGAAGGAGCAUGGGCUAGUGGUUGGAGCAGGGGACUAGUAAUCAGCAGCCAGGGCUCUGUUCCUGAUGCUGCCCAUCACUCACUCUGUUAUUGAACCUCUCUGUGCCUCAGUUGUCCCAUCUGUAAAAUGGAAGUGUUGAUAGUUCUCUGUCCUUGAGGGUGUUGAUUAAUGCUGGGUGGGAAACAGUCUCCCCAUCCUGCAAAGCAUAUUGAGCUGUCAGAAAAAUUCCCAUUCUACACUGGGACAAAAUCAGGGUCUUUUGAAGUUAUUGGUGGUGAGGGCUCUAACCUGGGGUGUGAGAGACCCAGGUUCAAGGUCCCGCUCUGAAUCAGGCAGAGCAAGGAACCAUCUGGGUCUUCCACAUCCCAGGUGAGUGCCCAAACCACCAUGCUAAUGGUUAUUCUGGGACGGGGGUGUCUCUCUCUCUCUCUCUCGCUCAGCAAUUCCAUCCUGGAUCCGAGACACCAUCUCCAAUGACAGUGUCACAAAAGUGUCGCUGUCGACAAAUCAGCAUUUUCCAAUGAAAACAUAUUUUGUCAGAAAAUUCCUGCCCAGGUUUGGGCUACUGCUGUGUCCUAAGGAAAUCAGAACAAACUAAUGUAACUAAACUAACAAGCCAAUGGGCAUGUAGGAUCAGAUGUUGCUGUUGGUCUGAAAGCCCUGUCUUGAUCUGCAAUCUCUCUCCUCCCUCUCCAAUUACUGAAGUUCAUACCCAGCUGUUCCUCUCGCCCAAUACACAGGUUUUUCUUGACGCUCACCCCAUAAUGCCACCCUGGCUUGCCCAGCCAGGGGGUCUCUCAAAGGCAAGGUGAGGUACUGCUGUGGUUGGGCUCUCGGUCCCAGCAGAUCCAGGGAGUGAGGGAGGCAGGCUGUGACGGCAUAUGGCGGACCAGAGAUUCUGCCAGCUGACUACCGACUCUAGUUCCUCUGCGAGGGGCGAUUCCUGUGCGUUCUACAAGAACAGGCCCCGUGGAUUGCACCAACCAGAGUUACUCCCCGCUGAGGGAGCGGCUCACAACGCCGGUUAUUCAUAGACAUAGCAGUUCCAAAAGGCCAGUAAUGCUACUCCUCCUCUUCCCCCACCGCAAGCCUUCAGAGGCAGCUAAGUCUGUCACACACAAGCGAUAACAGUGUUAGGCCAUAUAAUCCCUCCUUUACUUGACUUUGGGUUAUUUUGAGCAGGAGAUUAAAGGAGAUUAUCU
RNAcentral lists this long non-coding RNA (1411 nucleotides) under Chrysemys picta bellii (western painted turtle). Its description in RNAcentral is "lncRNA (ENSCPBG00000020620.1)". The record is from RNAcentral. Lineage: Eukaryota; Metazoa; Chordata; Testudines; Emydidae.